GAUGAACGCUGGCGGCGUGCCUAAUACAUGCAAGUCGAGCGAACAGAUAAGGAGCUUGCUCCUUUGACGUUAGCGGCGGACGGGUGAGUAACACGUGGGUAACCUACCUAUAAGACUGGGAUAACUUCGGGAAACCGGAGCUAAUACCGGAUAAUAUUUCGAACCGCAUGGUUCGAUAGUGAAAGAUGGUUUUGCUAUCUCUUAUAGAUGGACCCGCGCCGUAUUAGCUAGUUGGUAAGGUAACGGCUUACCAAGGCGACGAUACGUAGCCGACCUGAGAGGGUGAUCGGCCACACUGGAACUGAGACACGGUCCAGACUCCUACGGGAGGCAGCAGUAGGGAAUCUUCCGCAAUGGGCGAAAGCCUGACGGAGCAACGCCGCGUGAGUGAUGAAGGUCUUCGGAUCGUAAAACUCUGUUAUUAGGGAAGAACAUACGUGUAAGUAACUGUGCACGUCUUGACGGUACCUAAUCAGAAAGCCACGGCUAACUACGUG
This 497-nucleotide ribosomal RNA is filed under the name uncultured bacterium. Its description in RNAcentral is "partial 16S ribosomal RNA". It matches the Rfam family "Bacterial small subunit ribosomal RNA", at positions 28 to 507 of the family's 1533-position model. The record is from RNAcentral.